CCUACGGGAGACAGCAGUGAGGAAUAUUGGUCAAUGGACGAGAGUCUGAACCAGCCAAGUAGCGUGAAGGAUGACUGCCCUAUGGGUUGUAAACUUCUUUUAUAUGGGAAUAAAAUGUUCCACGUGUGGGAUUUUGUAUGUACCAUAUGAAUAAGGAUCGGCUAACUCCGUGCCAGCAGCCGCGGUAAUACGGAGGAUCCGAGCGUUAUCCGGAUUUAUUGGGUUUAAAGGGAGCGUAGGUGGAUUGUUAAGUCAGUUGUGAAAGUUUGCGGCUCAACCGUAAAAUUGCAGUUGAAACUGGCGUGCUUGAGUCCGCGGAAAGCAGGCGGAAUUCGUCGUGUAGCGGUGAAAUGCUUAGAUAUGACGAAGAACCCCGAUUGCGAAGGCAGCUUGCUGCAGCGGAACUGACGCUGAUGCUCGAAAGCGCGGGUAUCGAACAGGAUUAGAUACCCCAGUAGUC
Molecule: ribosomal RNA, 460 nt
Filed under: uncultured bacterium
Lineage: Bacteria
Description: partial 16S ribosomal RNA
Rfam family: Bacterial small subunit ribosomal RNA
Source: RNAcentral